UACGAAGGGGGCUAGCGUUGUUCGGAUUUACGUGGGCGUAAAGCGCACGUAGGCGGAUCGUUAAGUCGGGGGUGAAAUCCUGGAGCUCAACCGCAGGCGGUCGCAGGAAACUGCCUCGCUAGAGUCCGGAAGAGGGAGAGCGGAAUUCCUGGUGUAGCGGUGGAAUGCGCAGAUAUCAGGAGAACACCCGUGGCGAAGGCGGCUCUCUGGGACGGUACUGACGCUGAGACGCGAAAGCGUGGGGGAGCGAACAGG
This 255-nucleotide ribosomal RNA is filed under the name uncultured bacterium. Its description in RNAcentral is "partial 16S ribosomal RNA". It matches the Rfam family "Bacterial small subunit ribosomal RNA", at positions 524 to 776 of the family's 1533-position model. The record is from RNAcentral.